Molecule: small RNA, 28 nt
Filed under: Bombyx mori (domestic silkworm)
Lineage: Eukaryota; Metazoa; Arthropoda; Insecta; Lepidoptera; Bombycidae
Description: ovarian small RNA-10159
Source: RNAcentral
AAAUGGAAUAUUGGUAACAAACUAGGAU